UAACACGUGAGUAACCUGCCUUUCAGAGGGGGAUAACAGUUGGAAACGACUGCUAAUACCGCAUAACGCUGCGAUGGGGCAUCCCGAUGCAGCCAAAGGAGCAAUCCGCUGGAAGAUGGGCUCGCGGCCGAUUAGCUAGUUGGUGGGGCAACGGCCCACCAAGGCGACGAUCGGUAGCCGGACUGAGAGGUUGAUCGGCCACAUUGGGACUGAGACACGGCCCAGACUCCUACGGGAGGCAGCAG
This 245-nucleotide ribosomal RNA is filed under the name uncultured bacterium. RNAcentral's name for it is "partial 16S ribosomal RNA". It matches the Rfam family "Bacterial small subunit ribosomal RNA", at positions 111 to 354 of the family's 1533-position model. The record is from RNAcentral.